Long non-coding RNA from Musa acuminata AAA Group (dessert banana), 852 nucleotides. RefSeq lists it as uncharacterized. The transcript is spliced from 2 exons. The record is from RefSeq and is a predicted model, not a curated record. NCBI's taxonomy places the organism in Eukaryota, Viridiplantae, Streptophyta, Magnoliopsida, Zingiberales, Musaceae.
UGUACUGGCUGUUCCCUGCAGCGGUCCCCCGGACGGGAUCAAAUAACUAGCCCCGUAGCUGCCACGUCCAGCACGCAUUGCUGCCCCAACCGCCACCGGGCGUGUGUUGGUGUCGCCUGCGGGGCGCGAGUUUCUCCUCCAGUGAUCUCACGGGUAUUGGUUGCGGGUGAGAACUCGGGCGUAUUGCAGCGGAUCAUGCUCUGCGUCAGCGGCUUUAAUCGCGUCCGAAUUGGCGUCCACGCGUACGAUUCAACCAUCGCCACCCACGCGUCGAUAGAGGAAAAAAUAUCUCCUGACGAAGGUACUGUGAAUGCUGACCGUCACCUGCCGGUCGAAGAAGGAAUUAGCCGGUGAACAGAGAGGGUGGGCUUUUAAAUCGGCGGCACUUCGAUAGCAUCAGCAUCAACUGAUUUCCAGCCUCUCUCUCUCUUUCCCUCUCUGCGAUUCUCGACUACGCCGGCGGGGGAUGGCUUGGUGGGAUCGGGUGGCAUCACCGAUGAGGAAGGUCUGGGCCGGCGUCGCCACCCGCGUCGGCAUUCGCAAAUCCGGGCUGCUGCGGCUGAGGCAGGAAGUGAGCACGUGCGAGUACGAGGACGUGCGCGUGCUGUGGGAACUGCUGACCGAAUCACAAUGCCGACGGCGGCGACGAGGGGGAUGAGACGCCGGGGAGACGAGUCGCACGCUUUGGGGCGGGCUCGCAUCGGCUUCUGCCGCAGCCUCUAGACUCGUCGCACUCGUGCCGGCAUCGUGAUUCGGUUUCUUUACUUGGGUGGCCUCUUUGUAAAUACCACCGGCUUGUAUAAUAUAAUACAGUAGUAGUAUAUAAUAAAUGGCCUCAUAGUUAGUUACUCA